RNAcentral lists this long non-coding RNA (1125 nucleotides) under Sus scrofa (pig). RNAcentral describes it as "lncRNA (ENSSSCG00030064685.1)". The record is from RNAcentral. Lineage: Eukaryota; Metazoa; Chordata; Mammalia; Artiodactyla; Suidae.
ACUCUCAGCGAGGAUGCUUAUUGUGGGAGGGUGUCGCUGUCUCCGGCAUCCAAGCUGAAUUCCUUGGGGUUAACCUCAGACCCAGUUGCACUUGGCAGACUUUAGAGAUCUGUUUCGUUCUGAAGGAUUCCAGAAACUUCUUGCAGCUUUAACUGAUGUGACUUCAGAUGAGUAGUGAACCCAUACCGUGGGAGACUGUUGGAGAAAACUGAUCGUAGCUAUUCCUGCUCACUGUAAUUCAGCACUUACUGCGGGGCAGGGCCCGCUGAUAUGCUUCAUCCUUUCCAUGGAAUUUUGAUGUGGAUACUUCUUGGUAGAUGAGGAAAACUGAGUCAAAGAAAGUGGUUCAAGGGCACAUGGCUCUGGUCCUUCGGUGACUCAAACCCAGACCUUUCUUCCCCGAGUCUCAGGGUUACCCCAGGCUCCUCCUCUUAAGCAUCAAGCAGCUUCUCUUCAUACAGCUCAGCGGGUUGCCUGCGUGAUGAAUCAAUUAAUGAGGCCUCAUUGAUUUUCCCAGGACCUGGAAGAAAGACUGUGAUAAACCCAAGACGCGUACAGCUUCAUCAGCCCCAAGGACAUGACGAAUGUUUCUCUUCCUUGAACUUUGCUUGGCUUCCCGAGGAGAUAACUUAUUUUUAUUUCUCUCUCUCUUUCUUUAUUUUGUAUCAGCCUGUAUUAAAGUCCUAUAAAUAACCUUGGAGACACACGCAACAGAUUCGUUUAAUUUUGCUUGAGUUAUCCUAAGUCGGAACAGAUGUGUGUUUGCGAUAGAAGAGGGAGGAGGAGGCUGACUCAUAGGUGUGGGGAGAGAGAGAGAGAGAUGAGAAGCCAAUUGGCAUCUGUGUUGGAACAUCGGACUGGUUUUAGGAGGUAGGCAAACAGCGCCGGCUCAGCCUGGCGGGGUUCUGCUUGGAUCUGGGGACAUCUGCCACAGCUGAGUCCCUGGGAAGCCGAGAUACCAAGUGAUGGGACGGGGAGGCGGGGGGCAGGGGGGUCACAUGCAUAGCAUGAUGUGUGUGGAGUUCCCUUCAUGGCUCAGUGGGGAACGAACCCCACGAAGAUCCAUGAGGAUGCAAGUUUGAUCCCUGGCCUUGAUCCGUGGGUUCAGGAUCCGGCAUCGCCGUG